ACAGAAGAAGAAUCAUUGAGGUCCUUACAUGUGACCUACAAAAGAGGAAUAUCCUGACACCUUCAAAACAGGGAUACACCAACCUACUAGAUGCCCUGUUUAGUGAAUAUCCACACAUUGGAGACCCAAAAUGUUGGAGGAUGUCCCUUCGUACCAAGAUGAAAAACAUUCGAGUGCCACUAACAUCACACAACACUG
This is a long non-coding RNA of Eriocheir sinensis (Chinese mitten crab), 198 nucleotides long. RefSeq lists it as uncharacterized. The record is from RefSeq and is a predicted model, not a curated record. Lineage: Eukaryota; Metazoa; Arthropoda; Malacostraca; Decapoda; Varunidae. The transcript has 3 exons.